RNAcentral lists this small nucleolar RNA (131 nucleotides) under Castor canadensis (American beaver). RNAcentral's name for it is "Small nucleolar RNA SNORA68 (ENSCCNG00000021761.1)". It matches the Rfam family "Small nucleolar RNA SNORA68". From Rfam's summary of the family: U68 is a member of the H/ACA class of small nucleolar RNAs (snoRNAs) which act as guides in the the modification of uridines to pseudouridines. The record is from Rfam by way of RNAcentral. Lineage: Eukaryota; Metazoa; Chordata; Mammalia; Rodentia; Castoridae.
GCCGCGCCCCAACCCAAAAAGCCGCUGCUUGCGGUAGCAGGGGUUUCAGCGAUGGCGCGCACAGCAAGGGGCCUCGUCGCCUUUGGGGGGCUGCGGCCGUGCCCCAAAGUGAAUGUGGAGGUUCUACAACC